This 377-nucleotide ribosomal RNA is filed under the name uncultured Glomeromycotina. RNAcentral describes it as "LSU rRNA". Lineage: Eukaryota; Fungi; Glomeromycota. The record is from RNAcentral.
UUGAAAGGGAAACGAUUGAAGUCAGUCGUACCAGCGGGAAAUCAACCUUUCGAGUGGGGGUUUUGGAGUUUUUUGAAGAGUGUCAAAACCUUUGAGAUUUCAAAAUAUUCGCUCUUUUGGUGUACUUUCUCGUGGGUAGGUUAACAUCGAUUUUGAUCAUCAUAAAAAGAUUGGAGGAAUGUAGCUUCGAUCUUGUAUUGAAGUGUUAUAGCCUUUGGUAAAUGUGAUGAUUAGGAUCGAGGAUUGCAACGAAUACCCUUUUGGGCUAUCCACCUGAUCUCUGAUACGUGGCCUUGGUAUCGAAAGCGUGCUUAUGGUAUUGAGGUAUUACGGUCAAAAGGUUAGAACGGAUUACAUUCCUUAAGGAUGUUGACGUA